UUCGGUGGUGCAGUGGUAGCACGCGCCAUCGCUAAGGGUGAAACGCGAGUUCAAUUCCCGUUUGCGGUCGAAA
Parelaphostrongylus tenuis is the source of this 73-nucleotide non-coding RNA. NCBI's taxonomy places the organism in Eukaryota, Metazoa, Nematoda, Chromadorea, Rhabditida, Metastrongylidae. The record is from the annotation of a GenBank genome assembly.